AUGAAAUAAUAAGAGAGCGCCAGCAAGGUGCCAUGUUACGUCACAAUCCACUCAGGGCCGUCUGGAAACGGAUGCUGGCCCUCUUUUUU
This 89-nucleotide small RNA is filed under the name Salmonella enterica subsp. enterica serovar Typhimurium str. SL1344. RNAcentral describes it as "STnc470". RNAcentral also lists the same sequence under 1 other name. The record is from RNAcentral. Lineage: Bacteria; Pseudomonadati; Pseudomonadota; Gammaproteobacteria; Enterobacterales; Enterobacteriaceae.